This 324-nucleotide ribosomal RNA is filed under the name uncultured eukaryote. RNAcentral describes it as "partial 18S ribosomal RNA". It matches the Rfam family "Eukaryotic small subunit ribosomal RNA", at positions 1470 to 1796 of the family's 1831-position model. The record is from RNAcentral.
CCCUUAGAUGUUCUGGGCCGCACGCGCGCUACACGGAUGCAUUCAACGAGUUUCUUCCUGGUCCGAGAGGAAUGGGUAACCUUUUGAAAGUGCAUCGUGAUAGGGAUAGACUAUUGCAAUUAUUGGUCUUCAACGAGGAAUUCCUAGUAGACGUAGUUCAUCAGACUGCAUCGAUUACGUCCCUGCCCUUUGUACACACCGCCCGUCGCUCCUACCGAUUGAAUGCUCAGGUGAGCCAUUCGGACUUUCAUCAUGCUGGUUUCCAGUUUUGAUGAAGGAAAGUCUUGCGAACCUUAUCAUUUAGAGGAAGGAGAAGUCGUAACA